Molecule: ribosomal RNA, 222 nt
Filed under: uncultured bacterium
Lineage: Bacteria
Description: partial 16S ribosomal RNA
Rfam family: Bacterial small subunit ribosomal RNA
Source: RNAcentral
AACGUGAGCAACCUACCCUUCAGAGGGGGACAACAGUUGGAAACGACUGCUAAUACCGCAUAAGACCACGGUGUGGCAUCACACAGGGGUCAAAGGAGAAAUCCGCUGAAGGAUGGGCUCGCGUCCAAUUAGCUAGAUGGUGAGGUAACGGCCCACCAUGGCGACGAUUGGUAGCCGGACUGAGAGGUUGAUCGGCCACAUUGGGACUGAGACACGGCCCAG